RNAcentral lists this transfer RNA (75 nucleotides) under Verrucomicrobiota bacterium. Its description in RNAcentral is "Verrucomicrobia bacterium (groundwater metagenome) tRNA-Leu". The record is from RNAcentral. Lineage: Bacteria; Pseudomonadati; Verrucomicrobiota.
GCCCGUGUAGCCCAAAGCAGAGGCGGCAGGCCCAAACCCUGCGCAGUGUCGGUGCGAGACCGGCCACGGGCACCA